RNAcentral lists this ribosomal RNA (95 nucleotides) under Bacillus cereus. Lineage: Bacteria; Bacillati; Bacillota; Bacilli; Caryophanales; Bacillaceae. The record is from RNAcentral.
UCUGGUAAUGAUGGCAGAGAGGUCACACCCGUUCCCAUACCGAACACGGAAGUUAAGCUCUCAGCUCAGCUGGGAGAGCACCUGCCUUACAAGCA